UACAACAUUAUCCAGUCAACCUUUAUGGCUGACAUGAAGAACAACAUGAGAAGUUCACUGGAGACGCAUCAACCACCAGCAAACAACAACUCUGCUCCUAUUUACUCAACUGGGCAGGCAACUCGGGGUGUUCUCAAUUGAGAACACCUAGAAUAGAGUCUUUUGGACCCCAAUUUCCACUUAACUUGGCCAGACUCCAAACCUUGGAUUUUCUAGGGUUCAUACAGUCACUUUUAGGGUUCGACCUUUUCAGGUUAGAUUCGAACCAAAACCUUGUUGGUUUAGGUACGAGAGAUGUUAGGGGAAUGCUUGGUAUUGAUUUGGGGUGAUUUGGUGUGAGUUGAAUCUGGGCCCGAAUCUUCAAAUGAAGAUUCAAGAAGGUUCUAUUUGAUUCGAGGUUAGGGGUUAGUGAAUUUGGCUUUAGGGUGUGAUGGGGGUUCUGUGGUGUUAACGGGGUGACCAGCGGCGUCGUUGCCGCUGGGUUUAUGGUGCAAAUUGCCUAGAGGCGGCUAGGGUUUUGGGGUUCUGGUCUCUGAGGGUUUGAGAUGGGGAAGAAGAAUGAUGAGGGUAGG
Molecule: long non-coding RNA, 572 nt
Filed under: Nicotiana benthamiana
Lineage: Eukaryota; Viridiplantae; Streptophyta; Magnoliopsida; Solanales; Solanaceae
Description: long non-coding RNA (NBEN_LNC011868)
Source: RNAcentral